UGUUAUUGUGAUAACAGAAGUUGCCUAUGGGAAUGUGUUUAAGCCAAUAAGGUAAACGAAAAGAAAGGACAUAAUAAUAAAGUACUGCGGAGGAAUUUUUCUCAAGCUGUGAGACGCCGAAGAAGAGUGAAUGCGAUUGAGAGGCUCAGAGAAUUGUGCUCUGUACAGGCAGUUUCUUUAGCCUCAGGCCCCUGCCUGCCCCUAUCGUCAGCAGAGAGAUGGAAACUUUGAUGACUAGUUCCACCCUACCUCCCCUUUAUGCAGAUGAAGAUGGCUCCAAGGAGAGUAGUGAUCUGGCUACAACUGGGCUAACUCACCCAGAGAUUUAUAGUAGUGGAGCCACAUCAUCUACCAACAACCCAGAAUUUGUGGAGGCUCUCUCCCAAGGUCAGUUGCUUCAGAAUGAGCCUUCAAACACAGCAGAAGGCAAUGAACAGAGGCGUGAAGAUGAGCAAAGAGGUAAACGAGGAGGGUGGUCCAAAGGAAGAAAGAGGAAGAAACCUCUUCGAGACAGCAAUGCACCCAAAUCCCCCCUUACAGGAUAUGUUCGGUUCAUGAAUGAGCGUCGAGAACAGCUUAGAGCAAAGAGACCAGAAGUCCCAUUUCCAGAAAUCACAAGAAUGUUAGGCAAUGAAUGGAGUAAACUGCCUCCUGAGGAAAAGCAGCGCUACCUUGAUGAAGCAGACAGAGAUAAGGAACGUUACAUGAAAGAACUGGAGCAGUAUCAGAAAACUGAGGCCUACAAGGUCUUCAGUAGGAAAACACAGGAUCGUCAGAAAGGCAAAUCACAAAGGCAAGAUGCAGCCAGACAGGCCACUCAUGAUCAUGAGAAAGAAACAGAGGUUAAGGAACGGUCUGUUUUUGACAUCCCUAUAUUUACAGAGGAAUUCCUGAACCACAGCAAAGCUCGGGAGGCAGAGCUUCGCCAGCUUCGCAAAUCCAAUAUGGAGUUUGAAGAGAGGAAUGCAGCCCUGCAGAAACAUGUGGAGAGCAUGCGCACAGCAGUGGAGAAGUUGGAGGUGGAUGUGAUUCAGGAGCGGAGCCGUAACACUGUCUUACAGCAGCACCUAGAGACCCUGCGGCAAGUGUUGACCAGCAGCUUUGCCAGCAUGCCCUUGCCUGGAAGUGGAGAGACACCUACAUUGGAUACCAUUGACUCAUAUAUGAACAGACUGCACAGUAUUAUUUUAGCUAAUCCCCAAGACAAUGAAAACUUCAUAGCUACAGUUCGAGAAGUUGUGAACAGGCUUGAUCGUUAAGGAAUGAUUUACAGUGGAAGAAUUACUCUACCUGGCAUCUUUCUCUUUGACUAACUUGUAACCUAGAAAAAAAAAUGGCUCUGGGAGGAAGCCUUGGGGAUGAUUUCAUAUUGAAAGGUCUUAGAGCUCCAAGAUGUGAGGAAUGAGAAGCCAUCUGUGGAAAAUUUGAACUGAGUACAGGCAGAGUACAGAUAACCCUGCUUGUGAAGGAACUGUCAGCU
This is an RNA transcript of Molossus molossus (Pallas's mastiff bat), 1480 nucleotides long. It is a transcript of the gene named high mobility group 20A, with no coding region annotated. The record is from RefSeq and is a predicted model, not a curated record. The transcript has 11 exons. Lineage: Eukaryota; Metazoa; Chordata; Mammalia; Chiroptera; Molossidae.